GCUCCUGUGGCAUAGUGGUUAGAGCGUCCACCUCAAAUGCAGGAGGUCAUGGGUUCGAUUCCCGGUUGAGUCA
Potamilus streckersoni is the source of this 73-nucleotide non-coding RNA. NCBI's taxonomy places the organism in Eukaryota, Metazoa, Mollusca, Bivalvia, Unionida, Unionidae. The record is from the annotation of a GenBank genome assembly.